Bombyx mori (domestic silkworm) is the source of this 294-nucleotide long non-coding RNA. RefSeq lists it as uncharacterized. The record is from RefSeq and is a predicted model, not a curated record. NCBI's taxonomy places the organism in Eukaryota, Metazoa, Arthropoda, Insecta, Lepidoptera, Bombycidae. The transcript has 2 exons.
AGAUUCCGGGGAUGUACUUCUCAAUGAGCUUUUCGUAGUACGGCCAAAGGGCCUCAAUGUCCGGCACCUUCUCACUCUUCGUGUACAAAUCAUAUUUGCUACAAGGAAAACAGAAGUCGUUAGUUUAUCCGUUAUAUUUCAGGGUGGGUGGCGCAUUUACGUUGUGGAUGUCUAUGGGCUCCAGUAACGACUUAACACCAGGUGGCCUGUGAGCUCGUCCAACCACCUAAGCAAUCAAAAAAAAAAAAAUUUGUUAUAGUUAGUUUUAAUAUAGUUUUAUAGUAUUUAGAUUCA